CAGUCCCGCGGUAAUACGUAGGUGGCAAGCGUUGUCCGGAAUUAUUGGGCGUAAAGGGCUCGCAGGCGGUUUCUUAAGUCUGAUGUGAAAGCCCCCGGCUCAACCGGGGAGGGUCAUUGGAAACUGGGAAACUUGAGUGCAGAAGAGGAGAGUGGAAUUCCACGUGUAGCGGUGAAAUGCGUAGAGAUGUGGAGGAACACCAGUGGCGAAGGCGACUCUCUGGUCUGUAACUGACGCUGAGGAGCGAAAGCGUGGGGAGAGAACAGGAUUAGAUACCCCUGUAGUCCCUGUCUCUUAUACC
Molecule: ribosomal RNA, 301 nt
Filed under: uncultured bacterium
Lineage: Bacteria
Description: partial 16S ribosomal RNA
Rfam family: Bacterial small subunit ribosomal RNA
Source: RNAcentral